This is an RNA transcript of Ipomoea triloba (trilobed morning glory), 2132 nucleotides long. It is a transcript of the gene named putative UPF0481 protein At3g02645, with no coding region annotated. The record is from RefSeq and is a predicted model, not a curated record. Lineage: Eukaryota; Viridiplantae; Streptophyta; Magnoliopsida; Solanales; Convolvulaceae. The transcript is spliced from 2 exons.
AGAUUUAUAGUGUUAUAGUGAAUCUUCAUCCAUCUCUCAUUCUCUCUCCUCCAUAUUAAACCAUAAGUUUCUUGAACUAGCUAGCUUCAUCAAAGAACUUCCUCCAGCUAGCAGGCAAGGGAUCGGAGAUGACCUCGUACCAAUCGAAAACCACAACAACUUCAGAUUUCGACGAGAAAGGAUGGGUCGGCCAUAUCAACCGGACCCUCCGUGAAGAGCUCCAAGAAGAGCUGGAAUUCAGCGUCCUCGUCUUCACCGUCCCCAAAUCUCUAAUGGCGUGCGACCCCGACUCCUACGUCCCGCAGCAAGUCUCCAUGGGGCCUUACCACUUCCUAAACCACGACGUUCUCGAGAUGGAGAAGUACAAAAUCGACGCCGCGAAGAUCUUCCAGAAACAGAUAAAAUCGCCCCUCAUCACCUUCGACCACCUCGUCGACCAAAUCAAAGCCGUCGAGUCCAAGCUCAGGGUUUCCUACGACAAGCCCCUGAAGCUUGGGUGCGAUACUUUAGCCUUGAUGCUGGCCAUAGACACCGCGUUCUUGCUCGAGUUCCUUAAGAUUUACGCCGUCAAAGAAGGCCGCCUUGUCGGCGCCGCCAUUUCUUCGAAGAUGUCCCAUUUGGUCGAUCUCCAAGGGAAGAAAUCGUCCCAUAACGCUCUGCUCCGAGACUUUUUAAUGCUGGAGAAUCAAAUCCCACUUUUCAUCCUCAGAACAAUGUUGCAGUCGCAAUUCUCCUCCCCGGAGGUCUCCGACGAAACGCUCCUCGCCAUGCUAAUGGGGCUCUCCAAAGACGUUUCGCCCUUCAAGACAUCCAAAAUCGCCAUCAAAACGUACCAAUUGGAUGGUUUUGCCCAUUUGCUCGACUAUUUGUUCCGAGCAAUCGUGCCGGAGAUGGAGGGAGAGCACGCCGGCGGCGAGGAAAUAAUAAUACAGCAAGAAGAAGACGAGGACGACAAAGCCGCAACUUUCGAGCAUUCAAGCCAUGUCAAGGAAGCCUUUGGGAAGGUUUGGGGGAUGAUUCGAAAAGUAAACGUUUUCAAGAAACUAACAUCUUCUCGCUCAAUUAAAGCCUUGACGAAAAUGCCCUUGGACCUCGUCUCCAAGGUUCCAGGGGUGGACAAGCUCAAAGACACAGUCGAAAAGCUCUUCUUUUCCGGGGAAGAAAAAGACGAAGAAAACCCAGACGAUUCCAAUCCCGAUUCCGACAAAGCCCCGUUAAUAGAAGAAAUCACAAUCCCCUCAGUAACCCAGCUAGCCAGAGCGGGCAUAAAUUUCGUCCCAUCUAACAACGGCAUCUCCAGCCUCUCAUUCGACUCAAAAACAGCAACGUUAUCCCUCCCCGUAGUCUGUCUCGACAUAAACUCCGAGGUUGUUCUGAGGAACCUAGUAGCCUACGAGGCCUGCCGGGCGAAAGGGCCGUUGGUUCUCGCCCGGUACACGGAGUUCAUGAACGGGAUUGUGGACACUGAAGAAGACGCGAUGGUUCUGAUAAGUAAAGGGGUUAUUGUGAGCCAACUGAAGAGCCAAGCGGAAGUGGCGGGGUUGUGGAACGGGAUGGAUAGAUCCGUGAGGUUAACGAAGGUGCAGUUCUUGGAUGAGGUGAUUGAGGAAGUGAAUGAGUAUUAUAGUCAGAGGUGGAAAGUGAAGGCCAUCAAAUUCGCGAGGGCGUAUAUAUUUGGUUCCUGGAAGUUUUUGACUUUCAUGGCCACAAUCAUGCUUCUGUCCAUGGUGGCAUUGCAGGCGUUUUGCUCAGUGUAUACUUGCAGCCGUUGGUUUACUGAUAUUGUUCUCGAGGAUGAGGCCGGUAAAAAUUGACCCUUUUUUGCCUAGAAUUGGUCAAUGAAAUUCUCAUCUAUUCUUCUUUAUCAAUUCAAAUCAAGAAGGCUAAGAUUCAAACUCGUGAUCUUACGAUUACAAGUUUAUAUCAAUGUAUCCUUAGUCAUUUUGGCUGAGAUUAUACUGAUUUUAGCUCUUUAUAUUUCUGCUGCAAACUGUUAUUCUAUCCCUUUUGUUGUAAGCUUUAAGCCUUUUGUGGCUAGCAGGUUUCUGAUGACGUUACUGUAUUUUUCUUGGCUGCCCAAGACUGUGUUGUACUAAGUUACCAUAUAGAUAUGUUGUCUCAUGUGUUUAAUA